Molecule: ribosomal RNA, 336 nt
Filed under: uncultured bacterium
Lineage: Bacteria
Description: SSU rRNA
Rfam family: Bacterial small subunit ribosomal RNA
Source: RNAcentral
AGGAUGAAUGCUGGCGGCGCGCCUAACACAUGCAAGUCGAGCGGUAAGGCCCUUAGGGGUACACGAGCGGCGGACGGCUGAGUAACGCGUGGGAACAUGCCCCAAAGUGAGGAAUAACUGCCCGAAAGGGUAGCUAAUGCCGCAUAUGAUCUUAGGAUUAAAGGAUUUAUCCGCUUUGGGAGUGGCCUGCGUACGAUUAGAUAGUUGGUGAGGUAAAGGCUCACCAAGUCGACGAUCGUUAACUGUUCUGAGAGGAUGAUCAGUCAGACUGGAACUGAGACACGGUCCAGACUCCUACGGGAGGCAGCAGUGAGGAAUCUUCCACAAUGGGCGAAA